Long non-coding RNA from Equus caballus (horse), 2908 nucleotides. NCBI's taxonomy places the organism in Eukaryota, Metazoa, Chordata, Mammalia, Perissodactyla, Equidae. The record is from Ensembl.
CCGAUAUCCAAAGACCGCCUCUUCCAGGGCAUCCUGCCAGUCUCUCCUCAAAAGAAUUCCAUGUCUGAAGUGGCCCAAGUAAAUGUGGUCCUUUUGGGGCUGAGCCUACUGAAUAUGUGUUUAAAAGAAAAAUUCAAAAAAAAAAUGCCGUGGGACUUUCUGACACCAGGUCUUGAUUAUUAGAAAUGUGGUUCAGGAAAUUAAGGAGGAAAAAAUCAGCAAAAAUGUGAUUCUGGAAGAGCUCAAGCAAACAGGACACCAAAGUCCAAAGCUGAUUUAUUAAAUGGGUUAUCGUAACUGGCCAGGUUCUACACACUUUAGUACUCAUCCUCAUGAUUCUGUGGUCUGCUAAACCAAUGUGUCUAUUGCUCUUCAACACCCUAAAUAAAUGUUGGUAAUGUAGCCCACCAAAAUGAGUCAUACAGUCAUAAUAAAUAAACAACGGACUCAUCCAAGAUACAAAAACAUACAGGUACAUUGAUGGCAUUAAUAGCAGCACAUGGCAAUACAUAGUAAUAGUUUUGCUCUCCAGAGGCAAGAAUGAGCUGUAUUACACAAUAGAUUUUACAAUAAACAUUUGCAAAUAAUUUGUAUUUUGAUAGCGAACAAUUAUAUAGAACCCAUGUAUAUCCUGAUUUUUCUCCCCAACCUCUCUGGCUUUACCAUUCUGUGACAUCGUGUAUGUCAAUGCUGAUCUUGUAACAGACACAACUUGGAUUUAUCACACCUGCCUGGCUUAACACCUACACAAUAUCUGUGCAAGUGACAUGGAAGCCUGGCAUUCCCCCUUGCAAGCACUAAAUAUUUUAGAAGAAGGUUUUAAAACUGAAAAAUGGCGUCAUCAUCAAAUGAUCCUUGAUAAAUCCAUGACUGGGUAUCUCCCAGUGGGAGCCUUUUCCAUGUCUACUUUUCUCACCUACAGCAUGUCCUCAGCAGGAACAGCCACUCAGUUUUACCCAAUGUGUGUGUGCAUGUGUGUGCGUGUGUUUCUUCUGCCUGAUCGUCUUCAGUGAGCUAUUAGAAAUGAUAACAAAAAGAGAGCUCCGGUCCCUUAGAGCUCUCUUCUGUUCUUAGAUGUAAACCCCAAUGCCACCCUCAUCCGUAGACAGACUGCAGGUCUUCAUAUCAUUUCUAGCUCACCUGCUUCAUAGUUCUUGAUGGCUCUCAUUCAAAAAAUCUGUACUGAACAUAGCCAUGUCCCAGGGACAGAGCCAGACGCUUUGCCCUCAUUGUCUCAUGUAAUCCUCAUACUACCUGCCCUGGCAGGGGCUAUAAUUCAUUUCAUUUUGCAGAGGAGGAAACUGAGGCUCAGAAAAGUCAAGUGACUUGCCCAAGGUCCCUCAGCAUCUUUACUCAGGCUGGCCCUGCCCAGGAGCCUUUCCUUGUCAGUGGCACACCACCUAGCCUGCGGGGGGGCUGUCAUUUGGGUUGGUGGUGUCACUAUUCUCUCAGACCAGAAUCCUCAAGCUCCUCUUCACCAGGACUAUCUGUUUCUUGCCUCCUCCCCAGUCACCUGUCAUCACUCCCACCUGGGACAACCUCUCUGUCUCAUUAGGCUGUCUCUGACUAUUCAUCUGCGCCUCUACCCACUGGAGCCUGGGCGCUGCCAACUCACAAUUGCAAGGACAGUGCUUGGACCCCUCCAGGCUCCCAAGAAUCUUGCUCUGCCAUGAACUAGCUGUGUGAGUCUGGGAAAGUCAUUAAAACUCUUUUACAAUAUCUUCACAUUUAUAAUAGACAUCACAAUCCCAGCUCUAUCUCUGGAAGAAAACUCAAGUGAAAAUAGAAUGGGACUCAAAAACUGAGAUUUUGGUGGCAUAAUUCCCAUGCCAGAUUUUAUCUCCAAAAUGGCCCUGAAAUGCAAAUUUUCAUCCCAAUUUGCUUAAAAUGUGGUGUUUCUGGAUCUGAAUCCAGUGCCUGAUUUUUCCCCCAAAAUUUCCCUCUCUGCCCACAAAGAAUGAAAGUUGGUCAAUCAACUUCCCCCUGCGAAGCCUGAGUUCAUAGUCUGUGUUCCAGAAGGUGUGGCCAAGAAUUUUACUCAGUAAUAAACUCGGAAUUUCUCAUUUGUGAAAUCACCAAAAAGGAACUUUCAAUAAGGAGUCUUAUUUUUAACACCUAAAGAUCAUACUUAAUUAUUCCAAUCUUAAUUAUCUAGAUUAAGUCAUAUUCACUGAGGUAGCCAAAAAAAAACAAUUAAGUUUUGGAAGCGUAAAUUGUUGAGAAUCCUGGUGCCCAGACUCUUUCGGAUCAAAUAAAUACCCCAAAGCUUUCAACGCCUCCCCUUUGCCAUGCAAAGAAAACCCCAGCUCCUCAGCCUGACUGCCCAGUCCACUCCCAGCCGAAGUCUACCUUUCCCACCUGAAGUUCAUUUUCUCCUCCAAGAACCACAUGCUGUAGUCACUCUGGAUCAUUUGCUCUCUUCUUUUAAAGGGCCUCUUCAUUUUCCUUCCUCUGCAUUUUCCUUCAGGCCCCACCCACCCUGAAUGCCUCCCUCACUCCCCUUGACCUAACUAAAUCCAUCUAGUUCCAACCUCUACUUCUUCCGUGAAGCCUGCCCUGACGACGCCAGUCUGAACAGAUCUCUCCUUCCGCUGCCCACAAAACUCAGGAAGUAGUCUGGCCACUUCAUGAUGGAUGCUAUCAAGUCUUCCCAGGUUCCAGGUGGGCCUGCCAAAGGGUACAAGACUCAUAUUCUUUUUCUCUCCCUUUUAAAUAACUAUUGAAUUAUCAUCUUUGGAUGGCCAAUUAUUCAGCAUUUCACAAUAUAACUUCCUUCUUCCUAAAUUGUCAGUAUUUUCCAGUAUAUCAAAGAUUGGGGCUUCAGGAGAGUCUGCCAUUCCCUCACUGCCUAAUUUGGGUAAAUCACUUAAUCCUGUGAGUCUAAGUACCCUCAACUGUAACACAGAAA